AAUGCUGGGUCCCGCCCCUUCUUCCGGCUGGGUUCCACUACCUGCAAGGCUGGAACUGACAGCCACUGUGCAAACAAAAAAAGGCAACAAGCAUGCUGGGACCAUUCUGUCUGCUGUUUGGGUCUCACUUGUCCUGACAACUAAAAAUCAUCAGUGGAAAGAGGUUGCAGCAUUUGAAAAUUAUCAAAAAGCAGCAGAGACAAGUUUGGGUGGUUUCCAGGGGAGAGGCACUGAAAGUGAUUGAUUCCUAUCAAAAGCACAAGGACAGGAAGCUGGAGUCAUCCUAACAAGAGUGAUAGUCUUUCCCCAAGUGAGACCAGGCUGUGCUAUCUGGGGAAAAGCAUCGCUGGCCUUGCCGAGAUGCACCGACGACUCAGCUCAGCUAAGGACUUAACCAGUACAGGACUUGCUGCAGCGGAGCCUGAGCUGGAUAUGGAAAGCAAAAGAAGCAAGAUCUCCCUAUGUUGCCAAGGUUGGUCUGGAACUCCUGAGCUCAAGUGAUCCU
This 505-nucleotide long non-coding RNA is filed under the name Pan troglodytes (chimpanzee). Its description in RNAcentral is "lincRNA". Lineage: Eukaryota; Metazoa; Chordata; Mammalia; Primates; Hominidae. The record is from RNAcentral.